GGUCAACUGGUGUAGUGGUUAUCACAUCUGUCUUACAAGCAUCCCGUCAUGGUUGUAGGCACACAGAAGGCCGCAGGUUCGAUCCCUGCGUUGAUCA
Molecule: non-coding RNA, 97 nt
Organism: Hypoxylon fuscum
Lineage: Eukaryota; Fungi; Ascomycota; Sordariomycetes; Xylariales; Hypoxylaceae
Source: the annotation of a GenBank genome assembly